UUAAAAUGGUCUGCAAGCAACCACAAUCAAUGUGGAACUGUGAAAGAAACGCAGGAGGGAAAUGGCGCCCCUUAUCUCCUUAAACAGCUAUAAACCCGUCUGUGCCAGGGCAAUUGUACCUCAAUCUCAGAAAGCUGAUUUCAAUUCUCUGAAAUCUCCCUCCAUAACUGUAAACCAGAGCCGGAUCUUUUCCAUUUCCAUUAGAACCCCAAGGGCAAGGCGUUGCAUCUCUGUCGUCGUUAAUAAAUCGGGCACAGACUCUCACCAAAACAAUCAACAAGAUGAGGAAGCCAACAAUUUAGGAGUUAAAGCUGCAUUAUCCGUGCUGAGAUUCUACAAAAGGGAAAUCUCGCCUUUGUUGCCAAAAAGCUGUCGAUAUGUUCCAACAUGCAGUGAGUAUUCGAUGAUAGCUUACAAGAAGUAUGGUGUUGUCAAGGGCACCAUCUUGACCGGCUGGCGUCUCUGUCGCUGUAAUCCCCUUGGCGGCUCUGGUUUUGAUCCUCCACGAUGGUUUGAUGAGCAAAUUCCACCUGAAGAUGAUGAGAUAUCAUAAUCUUUUCAGUAUUUCGGCUGCCCAGCUUACAGGCUCAAAUUUAAGAGAUAUCAAGAAUUGAUGGAAAAGAAAGGCCAUGACGCUCCUGCAUCUCUAGCCAUUAACGCCUGCAUUUCAUUUCUAAUCUUCUUCAAUUCUUUGUGUUCUUCUAAGGACCUUUGAGGUCUAAUAUGUUGGUGUUUAUUGGCGAGAUAUAUGAAGGACCUACAACCUGCAUGCCUUUGUGGAUUUGAAGGAUAAUCAAUUCUUGGUUGUUUUGAUUUUUCCUUUUUGAGAUAUGUAUUUUGUUGUUUUGAAACUAGGAGAAAAAGGGCUCAACCAUAUUUUUUUCAAGGAAAAUAGAUUUUAGCCAUGGUUUCAGCAUGGAUUUUUCUCUAAUUAGAAUUAAUCGUUUUUUUUUUUAAUAUGUAUUUUGCUUUAUUAAGUCUAAAAUGGUAUGCUUGAUUUGAGGCUAAAAUCUUGUAUUCAGUUGCAAAAUAGAUCAUAAAAUUGAAUAUGUGAUUAGAA
Molecule: RNA transcript, 1060 nt
Organism: Hevea brasiliensis (rubber tree)
Lineage: Eukaryota; Viridiplantae; Streptophyta; Magnoliopsida; Malpighiales; Euphorbiaceae
Gene name: UPF0161 protein At3g09310-like
Exons: 6
Source: RefSeq, a predicted model, not a curated record